AUUUGUUCACUUUAACGAUGUGGAAAAAAGUAUAAGUAAAGAUUCCUUGAUUAAUUUAGGGUUAUUUUUAGUUUAGGUCUGAGAAUGUAUUUUUAUGUCCUUGAUUGAUUAUUAGAAAUAAUUUUUAGUUUAUUUAAUUAACGAGUUCUUGGUAAUUUUUGAAAAACCGGUGUUGAGAUAUAGUUUUGAUUGGUUAUUAGUUAAUAGAUUUUAGAUUUAUUGGUAUAUAAGACUUUUUGGG
Molecule: unclassified non-coding RNA, 241 nt
Filed under: Piscirickettsia salmonis
Lineage: Bacteria; Pseudomonadati; Pseudomonadota; Gammaproteobacteria; Thiotrichales; Piscirickettsiaceae
Description: partial 16S-23S ribosomal RNA intergenic spacer
Source: RNAcentral